GUGGGUGGCACUGGUAGUGUUCUGACAGACGGGCUUAGAGUCAGGACUAGAGUGCUGAUCUCUAGAAAGACAGGGUUUAGCAGUGGGAAAGGCAGAGGAAGGCGGGGAACGAGAGCUGUAGGAGAAUGCGUCAAUCUGAGCAGUCCUGUUUGGCCGCAGGACAGAUAAAGAGAAGAGGAAUCUUCACAAACAAGCUGAGAAUGGAGGGCAGGGGUCAUAUUGUCAGUGGUGUUGGAUAUAAGCUGUGGCUCCUCUGCAGGCUGGUGAGGAUUCCAGGGACCACACCUUUCCUGCAUUGCUCACAUUGGACAGCACUGCGUACCAGCCCCACGAGCCUGCAUACUUCUGGGAAGUUCCCUGAACUCCAUCUACAUUUAUGAAAACAAUUGAGGUUCAGAAAGGUGAAGCAGUUUCCCCAAGGCAACAUACCUACAAACAGAGGAGCCUGGAAUUUGAACCCAGAGCUCUCGCUCAUAACUACCCUAUGGCCAAGCAUCUCCACACAACCUCUGACUGGGUGGCAGUGUGGGUGGAAACCCAGGCCGCUUCUUGGAAAAGCCCUCAGAAGAGAAACCUUUCGAUAUUUGAGCUGGUGCGUCUGACUUCUAUCGCUUAGGCCCAGUUCUGAUGCUCACAACAUUGCGGAAGACCUCAGAAUCCCAGAUGUGCAAAUGCUGUGUGAAGUACAUAUUUCUGUGACUCAGAUGUGAGAACGGCGGCAUGGCUCUGCAGCUGGCGUGGUUGUCCAGAGGCACCAGGAGGUUGCUGUUCCUAGAAACUGUGAUGCUGCUCCCCUCCCACACCAGCUGUGACCAGAACUCUUCAGGAUCUAGCUUCUGCUGUCCUACCCGACUGCCUUUCCACAGCAGAAUGUUUCCACUUUUUCUUCUAUAGAAGGCAUUAUUCCGCCUGCUCACCCCAGCCUCCGACUGUGAAGAGGCACGCUGUGUAUCAGCGGGGCCCAGCUUGCUUCAGUAGCAGAGACUGAGAGUCCCCGGCCUCGGAGCAGCCUCCUGCACUGUCACCGACAGUUCCUCUCACACUCCAUGGUCAGGGAAUGUGUUCGCUCGCAGACGCCUCUAAAAAUAAUUUUGAAAAAUUAUGUGCUCUUUUGCAUAUGUUUGGUGAACGUUGAACAUUUUGAAUAAAUUUAAA
Chinchilla lanigera (long-tailed chinchilla) is the source of this 1155-nucleotide long non-coding RNA. RefSeq lists it as uncharacterized. The record is from RefSeq and is a predicted model, not a curated record. Lineage: Eukaryota; Metazoa; Chordata; Mammalia; Rodentia; Chinchillidae. The transcript is spliced from 6 exons.